GAUGAACGCUGGCGGCGUGCCUAACACAUGCAAGUCGAGCGAAAAGAUAAGUAGCUUUCUCCUUUGCCGGUAGCGGCGGGCGGGUGAGUAACGCAUGGAUAGCCUACUUCUAUUACGUGGGUGAUUACGGGGAGACGGAGCUGCUAAUAGCUCAUAUGUCCUACGGGUUGAUGCAAUAGUUCUUGGCGGCUUUGGCGUCUGUUAUAGCUGGAUUCGCGUCGGAUUAGCUAGUUGGUAAGGUAACGGCCUACCAAGGCGACGAUGCGUAGCUGACCUGAGAGGGUGAUCGGCCACACUGGAACUGAGACACGGUCCAGACUCCUACGGGAGGCAGCAGUAGGGAAUAUUCGGCAAUGGGCGAAAGCCUGAUGCAGCAACGCCGCGUGAGUGAAGAAGGCCUUCGGAUUGUAAAGCCCUGUUAUUGGGGAAGAAAAGAAGCGGAUUAAACCCUCGCUGUCUUGACGGUACCUAAUGAGAAAGCAACGGCUAACUACGUG
RNAcentral lists this ribosomal RNA (497 nucleotides) under uncultured bacterium. Its description in RNAcentral is "partial 16S ribosomal RNA". It matches the Rfam family "Bacterial small subunit ribosomal RNA", at positions 28 to 507 of the family's 1533-position model. The record is from RNAcentral.